CUGGGUGUAGCGCAGUGAGGUAGCGCGUCUGCCUUGGGCGCAGGAAGUCGUCGGUUCGAAUCCGGCCGCCCAGACCA
Molecule: transfer RNA, 77 nt
Filed under: Desulfovibrio piger
Lineage: Bacteria; Pseudomonadati; Thermodesulfobacteriota; Desulfovibrionia; Desulfovibrionales; Desulfovibrionaceae
Description: tRNA-Pro
Rfam family: tRNA
About the family: Transfer RNA (tRNA) molecules are approximately 80 nucleotides in length.
Source: RNAcentral